AAAAUUCAACAUUUUUUUCGAUAAUUAUUGAUCUAGAGAGUCCACAGAAUAUUACAGCAGUGGUUUGGUUCCGAUCGGGCGAAAAACCUAGGACUAGUUCGUAAAAGUAUGUUUUUAACAUAUUUGUGAAUAAUUAAUGAACGAUUUGACUGACAGCAAUGGUUCUUGAGGCAAAGUUGUGGAUUAUGAGGAGAUCUAUCAAAUGAUAUGCAUAUUGUGUGAAUCUGUGUAACACCACGUGAUUACUGAGCCAAAAAACUCGUUAGCGCCAACUAGUGGCCGAUUUCUUUCAAAAUUCUUACAGACCUUUAGGGCCAUGAGUCGAACAUGCCCACUGAGUUUCGUUCCGAUCAACCUCUGUUAACCUUGUUUAAUAGGUGCUUAAAUUUGUUUGGCCAAUGGCGGCCAUGUUUUUUGAGAUAUGCAAAUGUCCUCAUAGACACUUGUGCCCCUUCAGACAAAGACACUGCAUACCAAUUUUCAAGUCGAUCAGACGAAUGGUUGCCUAGUUAUAGCCAUUUAUGGGUUUUUUCUAUUUUAUAGCGCCCCCAAGCGGCAGAGAUGCGCAAUUUUUUUUAUUUGACCAAAGAUUGAGCUUAUAAACAUGUGUACCAAGUUUGGUGUAGAUAUCUCAUUCCAUUCAAGAGUUAUAGCUAAAAUAACAUUUGGCUAACGUUAGCAUAGACGCUUUUUGGUGUACUGUUUCGCACGAAAAUUGAAAUUUCAACUUUUUUUUGAUAAUUAUUGAUAUUCAGUGUACAGAGAAUAUUUCUGCAGUGGUUUGGUUUGGAUCAGGUGAAAAACCUAGGACUAGUUCGCAAAAGUAGGUUUCGGAUAUAACACAAUUUUGCGGAAAAACCGUGCGUCGUAGAGCAAAAAUUUCGGACUCCACUUUUGUUCGGACUGACCCAAGGAUUACAACGAUGUAAAGUUUUUGAGUCUACGUCAAACGGUUUACGACUGAGGGCCAAAAAUGUCUGAAAUUUUAGUUUUUUGCGCUGUAGCGC
This is a long non-coding RNA of Cyprinus carpio carpio, 1007 nucleotides long. The record is from Ensembl. Lineage: Eukaryota; Metazoa; Chordata; Actinopteri; Cypriniformes; Cyprinidae.